RNAcentral lists this long non-coding RNA (3136 nucleotides) under Accipiter nisus (Eurasian sparrowhawk). Its description in RNAcentral is "lncRNA (ENSANIG00000001975.1)". The record is from RNAcentral. Lineage: Eukaryota; Metazoa; Chordata; Aves; Accipitriformes; Accipitridae.
GGAGAAAGAAAGGGGCUCCGUCUCCCCGCGCACCCCGCUUUCCCAGAGGCCGGCACCCCCCCGGCGCGGCAGGGGGUGGGUGGGUGGGUGGGUGGGGGGGGGUGCGCCCUCCGCUCGGGGCAGGGGGUGGCACGGCACCCCACGGCCACGCGGGACGGCGUGCGCCCCCUGCCCGCGGACCCCAGCGGCUCGGCGCGGUGCAGCGCAGGUGCAGCCCCGGGACGGCUGCGGCGGGGAGAGCCCGGCGGGCGCGGCCGGCCUCGGGCUGGCUCCCCCCCCCNNNNNNNNNNNNNNNNNNNNNNNNNNNNNNNNNNNNNNNNNNNNNNNNNNNNNNNNNNNNNNNNNNNNNNNNNNNNNNNNGGGGGGGGGGGGGGGGGGGGGGGGGGGGGGGAAGAAGCGAAGCGGGGGGAUCCCGGGCAGCGUCCCCUCCCUCCGCCCCCGCCGCCACUCGCCUGGUUGGGGUCGGUGGCCCGGAAGACGUGGCAGGCCAUGGGGGAGUCGGGGUUGUCGGGCUGCGCCUUGAUCAGUCAUCCCAUUAAACUUUCUGGCACAGCAAACUUUGAAUCCAGUGAAGAACAACAAUGCUCUUUGUUUAAAACUAAGUUUUAAUCUCGAGUCCUGUGUGCUUACCUGUAAGUAUAACAUCCUUCCAGGUAGGAACAUUUGCAAUUUGUUGGGGGGUUCGUUUUGGGGUUUUUUUUUGUAAGGUUUCUCCCCCCAAAAAGGGUAUCAGAUCAGCUUACUAAAACCCCUGUUGUUGAAAUAAUAUAGAGUUUGGUGGCUGUUAGCCACUCAAGCCAGUUGCAAAGCUAGUUAUUGCAGGAGAUAAAGCAACUUCUGCAACAAGAACUUCCACGUUCCCAAUUAUUGCUGCUUUUAUAUAAAGGAGACAAUUACUUCCCUACUAUUCCCCAACCACUGCAUUAACAUACAAAAAAAAAGAGAAAAAAAAAUGAGGAAGAAGAGUACCACAGCUGCUGGAGUCUACUUCUCUCCCUGACAGUGCCCACUACCUCUACCUCAUUUUGUGGUUUGGAAGGCAUCCUGGUCCCCUUCAACUGUCCAGCAAUGGAAACUAAGACAGAAUUUCUUGUCAUCACAAAGCUAAAAGGAAAAUCUUUAUAGUAUUCCACAAAUAUAUUAUUAUAAAGCUUGAACCACAGGCUAGAAAGGUUAGCAGAUCUGUAGUAGAAUGCAGAAAUGAUACAGAAGAGAGAUGCUUCAGAAGGCAAGAGUACUUCCAAAUUCAAAGGUCACAAAUUGUAUCUGUUCAAGAGGAAAAUGCAAAUACUGUUUAGACUUCAACAGUGUAUCACUAUUAAAAUGUUACUGCAACUUCACAAGCCAGUACUGUAUGUCUGGUAAGAGAAGGUACAGCUUACCAGGAACAACAGGGCACUUGUAGUCCCAACACAAUUCCGAGAAUGGUGCCAGCGUAGCUGCCAAAAAAACAACCCAACCAAAACCAAACCAACCAACCCAGAUGGGAACCCCUUAAUUCUGUUUCUCAUCGUUCCUAACUCUCUCCUAACUAAAUCUGUUGUCUUGACUCUGUUGACCAGCAAGCAUCUUUCAUCCCCCAUUCUCAACUGCGAGAAGCAGCAUCACACAGCACACCGGUGAUUCAUGCCAGACGUGCACUUACAUUCCUCUACUCAUUUUAAAGGUAAACUUUUAACACCCCUCUCAAGCUUCCUGCAUGGUUGCAGCAUCCAGUACUUGCCAGUUCAGAAGCAUCACUGGGAAAGAAGCCUGUCUUGCUUUAAUUCGGCCAAGCUUUCAGAUGAAUGUUUUUUUUAAAAAAACACCUGUAACCUGCCUAAGACACAGCAGUGAUGACAUUCUGGCCCCACUAAUGGGGAACAGAAAAAUUCUCUGCAGUUUCAGUAGUACCAAGAACAUCAGAACAUUAUUUUUCAGAUUCAGAGGUAAUUCACAGGGGAAUUAAGCAACAGGGCCACUGUCAGCGGCAGAGAAGUAUUUUCCUAAGUGUGGCAUAAAGACACUGAACACUAGGCUGCAUAACAAAAUACACAAGUGUAGUCAUAUGUUUGAGUUACCACCUAACCAUGGUGAUACUGCUCAAUAUAGGGUUAAACACGAUGCAUUAUCCUUUAAUUAAAGAGAACCAUUACUCAAUAGUUUCACUAUGUAGGCCUGGUUACUCUGUAUAAACGAUGCAGGCUUUACCAGCAACUACACCUUUGAAGAAGGAACUAAAGACUGAUGAAAAGGAAACAUCCUGCUCCAGAAGGCACCGGAGGCCGGAUGAUUGACAAAGCAGCAUGAACUAGGGGAAAAGUAAAGGCGGCAGGGGGAGAUCACAACCACCGACUCAAUUAAAGACCUAAAAGACUUACCCCCCACACACUCCUUGAGCAUGCGCUGUAGAAUAAAAGAACACUGUACUUUUAAUUUGAAGCAGAGAAAACCUUAGCCCAAUAGAAAUGGUGGCACAUCAGCAACUACCAAUAAUGAUUUUGGGGAAGGGCUUCGGUAACUAAGUGGAUCAACCUAAAACUGUAUAAAUUGCUUGCCUGUUUAACUGCAGAGUGUGCCAGCUCUGCGGAGUCACCCCUGGCACCCAUCUCUGCGCAGAGAUGAAAUAACAAAUAUCUCGUAAGAUAACUCGUGUAAGAUUGGCUCAUUGCACACCGGGUACGAAACCCCACUUGGAGGCACAACAGAAGGAUGUUAGAAUGGUUAAACUGCAUGAAAACCUUGGAUAGAGAAAUGCAAAUACUUAUUCUAUGAACAAGAUACAGAUUUAGAAAAAUCUAUUUGAGAGAUGUAUAAACAGGAAAAAUAAUGUAAAAAAAGAAUAGGCCCCAAUAGAAAUGUAACAUGAUACUAUUUAAAGAGCAAGUAAUAAUGCAGAAAUGUUAGUAUAAUUAAAUUACUGUUUUAAGCUACUGCAAAUAUACAAUGUAUGGUAUAUAUUCUGUUAUCAUUAAAAUGCUGAAUAUUGGUUAUAUCACUGGAAAUCUUUACGCUCGUCUUUUUAACAAUUAACCCAGAUGUUAGAGUAUUUCCCUACAAUGUAAGAAGUAGGAUGAGAAUUAUGGCGAUAUGAUUGUGUACAGUUCCAGAUAUAAGCUGCACUGGAGAAAACCUGAAGUCCUUAUCCCAUUGUCAG